UUUCUCUCUCCUCACCAGCAAUCAGCACGGUCCCUCCCAGCUCAGGUGCCCACUCCGGCAGCUGGAUCUGGAUCAGCAUCAUAGUCAGGGUUGAAGUCGCAGUGCUUUUAUCGAUUUUCCUCGUGUCCUACUGUAAAUAUAAAUGUGGCGCAGAGCCCAAGGGCUGCGGGGUUGGUUCCCUGUGGGGCAGAGCCAAUCUGCUGGCAAGGUGUAAAGAGCCAAUCAUCUGGCUGGGUUCGAAGACUCACACCAAAGGAGCUGAACACAUCUCUGUGGAAAAGCAGAUUCUUUUAAAAACCAAAGCCCAAGAAAAGCUCUCUUUCCUCUGGCCUGGGGACAGGUCACUGGCUGGCCCCACGCUGAGAUUUCUGCCUCAGCUGCCCCUUCCACCAGGAGUGUCCCAAUGCCACCAGCAGCC
Long non-coding RNA from Melozone crissalis (California towhee), 418 nucleotides. RefSeq lists it as uncharacterized. The record is from RefSeq and is a predicted model, not a curated record. Lineage: Eukaryota; Metazoa; Chordata; Aves; Passeriformes; Passerellidae. The transcript is spliced from 3 exons.